This 247-nucleotide ribosomal RNA is filed under the name uncultured bacterium. RNAcentral's name for it is "partial 16S ribosomal RNA". It matches the Rfam family "Bacterial small subunit ribosomal RNA", at positions 1253 to 1500 of the family's 1533-position model. The record is from RNAcentral.
AGCCGCGAGGCAGAGCAAAUCUCAAAAAGACCGUCCCAGUUCGGAUUGCAGGCUGCAACCCGCCUGCAUGAAGUUGGAAUCGCUAGUAAUCGCGGAUCAGCAUGCCGCGGUGAAUACGUUCCCGGGCCUUGUACACACCGCCCGUCACACCAUGAGAGUCGGGAACACCCGAAGUCCGUAGUCUGACCGCAAGGGGACGCGGCCGAAGGUGGGUUCGAUAAUUGGGGUGAAGUCGUAACAAGGUACC